GCAAAUACAAGAACGUUUGGGUAAAAAUAUAUUUUCUAUCCCCACUUCAUGUGUUGGCACUAGCCAUAUAUGUAGCCUGGGUCAAGUACAGGUAGUAACUGAGCUAUGCCAUAAGAUUAUUAUUCAAUUUGUACUUCCAAAAUGAAAUAUGCUUACAUUAAUAGAGUGACAAAUAUCUAACAGAUGAAUAUAUAUAUGUCUGCAUUAACACUGUAUGUAUGCUACACAGUCAUUUAGAUAUAAACAUAGGUUAUUUUCAAAUAGAAAGGCAACAGUAAUAAUGUUCUACACCUAUAGUUUAAGGCAAUCAAGAUAUUAAAAAUGUAUACAAAUACAAAUAUUUCUACUGCUGUUCACAGCUUAAUUUUUAGUUAAUUAAAAAAAAUCCUUCAUAUUUGUAUAAUCCCAUACUUUUACACGCUGGCUGGAAAAUCGUAGAUACUACAUACUGUAAUGCAACCCUGGUCCUUGAAGAAAAGAUGACAGGAGUAAGGAGUUCUAACGUCUGAGAAUAGCAAAUGGUAACGUGAUUCAAGCGGACAAAAUUGCAUAUGAUCACACACACAAGACAUUUCAGUUUUCAAGACAACAGUUUAAAAGCAGAAUGAGAGCUACCUGAAAAACAAAACCAACUGAUGACAUUAAAUAAGACUUGCUUAAAAAGAGACACAAAUACAACAAAGCCUUCUUGACAGGAUAAGUUGCUAAAAAUGUACAAGGUACCAAAAGGAUGAAAGAUUUAGGAUUGAAAAGGCGGGAGUUCCCAGGUAAAAUCUGGAUGUGCUGCUUAAAUGUAGCAUUCUGGGGUUCAAAUGCACAGCUACUUCGAUCGUUUAGACCAGUGAUUUUCAACCAGGGUGCCUCAGCACUCUGGGGUGCCUUGCAAUCCAUUCAAGGGUCCUACAGGGUGUCACACAAAGUUAGCACUGGUAGGUGUGUAAACAUGACUCACAAGAUAAGCCCUGAAAAUUCAAAGAGGAAUCCAUAGUAUCAAAACCAUUCUGACCUAUUGAGUUCUUUGCAACAGAAGAAUUGCUGUUAUGUUUCUGUAGUCGAAAAAACAAGCGAACAUUAAGAGGUGACAUUUUUCAAGAGGUGGAGAUUGAGAAUCACUGGCUUAGACUUCCGGGGUGGAGAGCCCAGUGAAGGGACAACUACACAAUUCUCCCCUCCCCAUGUAACUACCCUUUACUCCUCAGUUUACACUGCAAGACAAGGACUUUAGCACAGUGAUGAAAUAUUCUUUAAAACUCUGAGCAUGGUUGGAGCUCUUGGCAUGACAGACAAACCUGGGUUGAAGGGCAAGAGGAAAGGGGCUUACUUCUUCUGAGUGUGUAUUAGCUGGUAUGUUGUAACAUUUAGUCUUUACAUGACCCUGAGUUGAAGUAAGGGAAGCUAAAUCACAGUGAUUUAUCCCUAAAACCAAUGAUAAACUACUGUUGUUUAGCAUCCACUCAUCACAGGAUAUAGCAGAGGGGUGAAACAGUGACAAGAUUCAUCUAAGCCUGAAGUCCCUUGCUUUUAGAUCAGCCUAAUAGUUUCAUCUCUUUACACUCUCUGAUAGCCAUGGCCAUCACCAGUGUCAGUAAGGCGCAGUUUAAGAAAGGCCACAGGUUUGUAUUUACUUCAUUUACCUCAUUCUUACUUAAUUUACACAGAAGUAAGAUAUUCAGGAGUAAUCAGAGUUGGCCUCACUCCAUUACAGAAGUUAAUGGGCUACUUGCACCGUUUGUUUUAAUGGGAGCAGAGAGGCCAAAGUUGAGAACUCUUGGUCCUCCACCCUGUUCACUCUCCUUGGGAAGUGGAUCGAGUCACUGGGAGUUAGGCACCCAACUGCCACCUGUGCCUUUGAUAGUUGGCCUUGAAAAGCCAUUUUAGCAGUGCAAUUCAAAGCAAAUACUACCCUUCUCAAGGCAAGAGUGUGUCAUUUGGGCCUUUGCCUACAGGGGUAUUUCCACAUCCAAGAAACACUAAUUCGCAGAAAUUCAUUCAACAUUCUUACUCAUUUUUAAUAGCCUCAAGAUUUUUAAAAAAGGCUUGAGGGAAAUGUGGCAUGGGCAGUGACCAGCUACUUCAGUUUAAAUAAUUUUACGACAAAUCACAAUUGUGCAGAUCCUUGCAAGCAAGAGUUAAGAUUACACAACUGUCAUUAGAAAUUAGAUUGACCAGGCUAGUGCCAUAAAUUGAUAUUUUCAAAAA
This is a long non-coding RNA of Gavialis gangeticus (Gharial), 2199 nucleotides long. RefSeq lists it as uncharacterized. Lineage: Eukaryota; Metazoa; Chordata; Crocodylia; Gavialidae. The transcript is spliced from 2 exons. The record is from RefSeq and is a predicted model, not a curated record.